GACGAACGCUGGCGGCGUGCUUAACACAUGCAAGUCGAACGGAAAGGCCCUGCUUUUGUGGGGUGCUCGAGUGGCGAACGGGUGAGUAACACGUGAGUAACCUGCCCUUGACUUUGGGAUAACUUCAGGAAACUGGGGCUAAUACCGGAUAGGAGCUCCUGCUGCAUGGUGGGGGUUGGAAAGUUUCGGCGGUUGGGGAUGGACUCGCGGGUUAUCAGCUUGUUGGUGGGGUAGUGGUUUACCAAGGCUUUGACGGGUAGCCGGCCUGAGAGGGUGACCGGCCACCUUGGGCCUGCGAGACGGCCCAGUCUCCUACCGGAGGCAGCAGGGGGGAAUAUGGCACAAUGGGCGGAAGCCUGAUGCAGCAACGCCGCGUGCGGGAUGACGGCUUUCGGGUUGUAAACCGCUUUCGCCUGUGACGAAGCGUGAGUGACGGUAAUGGGUAAAGAAGCACCGGCUAACUACGUG
Molecule: ribosomal RNA, 468 nt
Filed under: uncultured bacterium
Lineage: Bacteria
Description: partial 16S ribosomal RNA
Rfam family: Bacterial small subunit ribosomal RNA
Source: RNAcentral